ACAUGUUUUCCUGCUGACCUUCUCCCCACUAUCGCCCUGUUCUCCCACCGCAUUCCCCUUGCUGAGAUAGUGAAAAUAGUAAUCUGUAGAUACCAAGGGAACUCAGAGACCAUGGCCGGUGCACAUCCUCCGGUGAAGGUACUCUACAGUGUGGUCAUUGAGGACAAGUUGACGAGAGAGUCCCAAGUACGUCCACGGUCAGCCUUGCGG
Molecule: long non-coding RNA, 210 nt
Filed under: Homo sapiens (human)
Lineage: Eukaryota; Metazoa; Chordata; Mammalia; Primates; Hominidae
Description: HSALNT0275895
Source: RNAcentral